UACGUAGGGGGCAAGCGUUGUCCGGAUUUAUUGGGCGUAAAGAGCGUGUAGGCGGCUAGAUAGGUCCGUUGUGAAAACUCGAGGCUCAACCUCGAGACGUCGAUGGAAACCAUCUAGCUAGAGUCCGGAAGAGGAGAGUGGAAUUCCUGGUGUAGCGGUGAAAUGCGCAGAUAUCAGGAGGAACACCGGUGGCGAAGGCGGGUCUCUGGGCCGAUACUGACGCUGAGGAGCGAAAGCGUGGGGAGCGAACAGG
Molecule: ribosomal RNA, 253 nt
Filed under: uncultured bacterium
Lineage: Bacteria
Description: partial 16S ribosomal RNA
Rfam family: Bacterial small subunit ribosomal RNA
Source: RNAcentral